GUGGGGAAUAUUGCGCAAUGGGGGCAACCCUGACGCAGCAAUACCGCGUGAGUGAAGAAGGUUUUCGGAUCGUAAAACUCUUUUAUUGGGGAAGAAGAAGUGACGGUACCCAAUGAAGAAGUCCCGGCUAACUACGUGCCAGCAGCCGCGGUAAUACGUAGGGGACAAGCGUUGUCCGGAAUCACUGGGCGUAAAGGGCGCGUAGGCGGUUUUAUAAGUCAGAUGUGAAAGGUACCGGCUCAACCGGUGACGUGCAUUUGAAACUGUAAGACUUGAGUACUGGAGAGGCAAGUGGAAUUCCUAGUGUAGCGGUGAAAUGCGUAGAUAUUAGGAGGAACACCGGUGGCGAAGGCGGCUUGCUGGACAGAUACUGACGCUGAGGUGCGAAAGCGUGGGGAGCGAACGGGAUUAGAUACCCGUGUAGUCC
RNAcentral lists this ribosomal RNA (427 nucleotides) under uncultured bacterium. Its description in RNAcentral is "partial 16S ribosomal RNA". It matches the Rfam family "Bacterial small subunit ribosomal RNA", at positions 354 to 796 of the family's 1533-position model. The record is from RNAcentral.